CCCAAUUUUCCACCCCAAAAUCCCUCAGGGAAAACCCGGCAGCGACGAUGAGGAGGCCGAAGGCUCCGAGGAGCCCAAAGGGGGGAAGAACAAAUUUGGAGCCCUGAGGGACGAGGAGGAGGAGGAGGAAGAGGAGGAGGAGGAGGAAGAGGAAGGAGCCCGGAAGGGAAGCGAGAACGAGCAGGAGGAAGGGGCGGGGCCAAGGGCGGGGCCGGAUCCGCGAAUCAGCAAAAAGGAGAAGAAGAAGAUGAAGAAACAGG
Non-coding RNA from Cyanistes caeruleus (blue tit), 260 nucleotides. The record is from RefSeq and is a predicted model, not a curated record. Lineage: Eukaryota; Metazoa; Chordata; Aves; Passeriformes; Paridae.